AACGCGAAGAACCUUACCUACCCUUGACAUCCUGCGAAGCUAGCUGAGAGGCUGGUGUGCCGAAAGGAGCGCAGAGACAGGUGCUGCAUGGCUGUCGUCAGCUCGUGUUGUGAGAUGUUGGGUUAAGUCCCGUAACGAGCGCAACCCUUGUCCUUAGUUACCAUCAUUUAGUUGGGGACUCUAAGGAGACUGCCGGUGAUGAACCGGAGGAAGGCGGGGACGACGUCAAGUCAUCAUGGCCUUUAUGGGUAGGGCUACACACGUGCUACAAUGGGUCGUACAGAGGGUAGCCAACCCGCGAGGGGGAGCCAAUCUCAAAAAGCGACUCGUAGUCCGGAUUGGAGUCUGCAACUCGACUCCAUGAAGUUGGAAUCGCUAGUAAUCGCGAAUCAGCAUUGUCGCGGUGAAUACGUUCCCGGGCCUUGUACACACCGCACGA
RNAcentral lists this ribosomal RNA (439 nucleotides) under uncultured bacterium. RNAcentral's name for it is "bacterial SSU rRNA". It matches the Rfam family "Bacterial small subunit ribosomal RNA", at positions 958 to 1397 of the family's 1533-position model. The record is from RNAcentral.